Molecule: long non-coding RNA, 5908 nt
Organism: Equus caballus (horse)
Lineage: Eukaryota; Metazoa; Chordata; Mammalia; Perissodactyla; Equidae
Source: Ensembl
AAGGCAAACCAAGUUGUUAACAGUGGUUACUGCUAAGUAGAAAUAUGGAUUUUUUUCUCAUUAGGUUUUUAGAUUUUUUCAAUAACGAGCAUGUUUCUCGUGUAAUUUUUUACAGAGAAAACGAUUUGGGGUGUAUGCCCUGGGGAUUUCUACUCAGUGGAAGCUGGGUCCCUGGGCACUGCCCCAGCCAUCCCACCCCUUCUCUUCCCUGUACCCUCGUCCCCAGCCACCCCUCCCCUUCCCAUAAGCCCUUAGCCACGUGAAGAGAGGCAGGGAGCAGGGGCUCCUCAGAGUGCCCCCCCUCCCAGAGUUCCAGGUCAUGUGCUUUCCCCUCCUCCCCUGCCUGCCUGGUCAUUUCAGAUGAAGGCCUGGAGGUCCACCAGGAGGUAGUUUCCAGCAAGAAGGAGACGGAGGCCAGGCUGUCCCACAGAGGCCGGCCUUUUUCCCAGGACUAUGACAAGGCACGGCUGCCCUUCUUUCUCCACUGGGAGACUGGGGAGGUGAGUCUCCUGCCCGUCCUUGAGACGCAGCCAGCUCCCUCCCCCUCCCCCAGGAGCCUACAGGGCUCGCCCUGAGUCCCAAAUGAAGUCACAGGCUGGAGCCCCCAGGAGGCCAUGUGGACACAGGGGACAGUUAUGGUGACAACUUGCCAGGCAACUUGGGCAAGAGAGGGAGGGGUUCAGGAAGCGCAGCCCCAAAAUAUUGCCCCGCAGCAUGCGGAACAUUUUAAGCUGAAGGAGCUUGAGAAAAUGGCAGAAGCAGGAGGGUCACUCUGACCUCCCCCGACCCUUGUCCCCUGACAAAGGCCCUCAUUCUCGGACUUUGGGAGGCUUCUCAUUUCUGAAGGCUGGAGUGAUGGCGGGGAUGGAGGGCUGGGCUGGGAGAACUGAAGGUGAGCAAAUGGGAAGAGGUUGGAGCCCUCCCUCACCCCGGACCAGGGUGGGAGUUGGAAGUUGGAAGUUGGUUUGGUUCUAGGAGGACGUCUGAGGCCUGCCAGGUGUCCCACUCUGUGCAGAAGCGCAUGGUGAUUAAGACCAAGGAUCCUUGCAGCUACGAGGGGCUGAGGCAAGACCUCCACCAGCUAAGCCAGUGGCCACACAGCAGAGUCCCCACUCCCUUGGGUUCCAACUUCCAUCUCCAAAACCACUGUCUCCUCUGCGUUAAGGGGGUGAGUCAGCUCUCGGGUCGCAAAGGCCCUCUCCCCAGCCUCACCUUUUCUCGGUGUCCCCAGCAAUGUAGGUUUAUUUAUUCUGUGAUACAAAUUCUGCCACUCGCUAAGAAGGCAAAAGUGAUUGCAACCAUUUUCUUUUCAAUGACAUUUCUCUAGUCGAUGGCUGCUUUAUCAAAGCCCCCUGAGAUUUCUGUAGUGAGCUCCUCCUGUCGCAUUUAGAAUAGGGUGUGACUGUCACAAAUUUGACUCACCAGGGUUUUUUCUCCUGCAGCACCAUGCAGAGAUAAAGUCCCGCAGUUCAGGCCUGAGGAAGUGGGAGAGCUGGUUACCUGCACCCUCAUGCCAACCGGGCGGUGUCUGGCAUGAGUGGGAAGGUCGAGGGACGGCAGGAGGGGCCACAUUCCCCUGGACAGAGAGUUGGGAACUGCGCGCCUGGCACCCCAGCCCUCCCGCGCCUGCCACCUGGUCUUGGCGCUGCCCCCAGCAUCCCUCUUCUCGAGAACCCCUCUCCGGCUCCAGCCCCACUUGCGGGCUCCCCAGUGGCGGCCUGGAGGAGCUGUGGGUGUGGUGAGGGCUCUGGGGGCGGGCCUGCGCGAGGGAUCCUGGAGAGCUGGACGGGCUGCAGGCAGGAGGCAUCCCCUCUCCACUUACCUGGCAGUCACCGCUCAUCUGCCUCCGCCUGGCCCAGGGACUUGGCCAAGUCCUUUCACUCGCUGGCCUCCGAGGCCAGGGCCCAGACACUCUGGGGCUGAACCCACACCUGGUUCACGCUCCGGUUCUGAACGCCUUGCUUUACUUCUCAGUGCAUCCGUGUCCACACCUGCAAAGUAGAAGAAUAAAACAGAAUGAAGCUGUUUAGUGAAAACACCUUGCAAACACUCAAACCGCCAGGGUCAGAUCCAGUAUAGCAUCAGCAAGUGGAGUGGAAAACAGCAUCCAGGCCCCCUGGUCCAGUAUUCAGUCCUCUGUGCUCUGUGCCCUUCUGUCCCCCGGCCCACGGCAUUCAGCCCCCAUAGUGUGACCUUGCCCCCCCCGCCCAGCACCUUCCUGGUGGACACGGCCACCUCCACUCAAUCAGAGGUCUCCCUGGCCACGCUCGGAGUUCCUGGACUUCAGCAGCAUGGAGCAUGCACCCUGCAGGAGAUGGUCCUGUGCACAGCCGCCCUGGCCCCCCAGCCAUCCCAGACCUGCUGAGUCUGCUGCAGAAUACCCACACCAACACUCUACCCAAGGGGGCUGUGGGCAUAGCUCGGGGAGGGAGGAAUGAAGAGGAUAAUGGCAGCAAACACUUAGGCAGCACUUAGCAUGUGCCACACUGUGCUAAGGGGUUUGUGUGGAUUGCAAAGUCAUGCAAAAAUAUACAUUUCAAUCCUCACAAUAAUCCUGUGAAAUACAUACUGUUAUUAUUAUCCUCAUUUUAUAGAUGAAGAAACUGAGGCUCAGAGAGGUUAAAUAACUUGCCAAAGAUUACACAGUGAGUGGUGGAGUCAGAAUUGGAAGCCAGGUAGUCUGGCUCCAAGGCCUCUGCUGUUCAGCGCAUGAGGCUCCAGAGGCCACCCCAGCGCUGUUGCAUUGUCUCUCUCAAGGCCCCACCCCCACCCCAUGCUCCUCCCACCCACGUGGAGUAAAGGAGAACCUGUGGAGCUCAGAUGGGACAGAGGUUGGGAAACCACUGGCCUAAGAGCAGGAGACUUGAGGUCCGUCAGGAACGUACUGCAUGACCGUGGGCAAAUGUCUGUAGGAAACUGGCCUCAGUUUCCCCAUGGGGCUGGGCAGGGUCCUCUCUAAUGUCCACUCUAGCUCUGACAUUCUGUGGUCUGUGAGAAAGCAGAGGCAGUGAGGAGGGACAGUGACCCAACAUUGACCUUUCCCUGCCCAGGCCCCAGGCUCCUCCUACUGCCCACCCAGCUCGUUCCCAGGGAGGGAGAAGAGCACAGGCUCGUGCACUGUGGAUGCUGAUGGUGAGUGGUCAGAACUUAGGAAGGCCCAGAGAGCUCAUGGGGCAUGCCGGAGCCACACAGCCAUGUGGGGUUUCCUUUCUCUCCAGAAUUCCCUGAAUGGAAGGCCCUUGGAGCUGCCCACUGGGGAGUCUGGGAUUAUCAUGCUGGGAGUUGUCUUUGGAAAGGGGGCCCAGCAGGGGUGAUCUAGGCAGCUGGUCCCCGAGAGUUGGAUCUUGAAGGUCAGGGUCGCUUCUGACAGGUGCUGAUUGAGAGGCUGGCAUCCUAGGCCAGAGGAACAGCCCAGGCAAAGGCAAGGAGGUUGAGGUGAUGGGGCCAAUCUGUGGCUGCUGUAGUUUGAGGUCUAGUGGGAGAUGAGAUGGGAAGGCUUAGGAGUUUGGGCAACGUCCAGCAGACAGGUGGCUAUAGGGAGUGACUGAGCAGGGAGUGACCGCAGAGACCUGGGCUCUGCCAGCAGGAGGUGAGCCAGGCCAUGUCCCUGCUCCUGGACGGACUGAGCAAAGUGUCAGGCAACUCAGAGCAGAGGCGGUCUCUGCUGGCCCUGAGGCACGCCUGCUUCCCUGGAACCGUGUCCCUCCCCCAGCACUACAUUUGCUUCCCACAGCCUCCUCUGCCACCACCUGGUCCAGGCACCACCGCCUCCUGGGCAAUGGCAGUGGCCUUGCUCUGACCCAUUCCCUGCUUGGUAGCCUUUAAAAUAGCUGCACCGGUUCUCUGACUGGGCCAGCAACCUGUGGACCCGUUCCUCCUGGAAAGCACCUGCUCAGGCUGUUCCCACUGCUUGCAAUGCUCUUCCCAGCACUUCCCUGCUGCCUCCUUAUCCUCGGGUCUCAGCACAAUCACGGCUCCUUCUGAGAGGCCUCCCUGACCAUCUUGCCCAUAGAUAGUUCGCCACCUCAUUCUCCAUCCUAACACCCUGUGCAUUCCCUCCCAGCACUGUCACAGUCUGAGAGGGGCUUCUUCACUUCAUUCUCAUUCAUUAUCUGCCUCCUCCAUCAGACCCUCAGCUCCAUGAGGGGAGGGACCAUGUCUGUCAUGUUCACCUCUGUAAGGCCCCAAAGCACACAGUAGGUAUUCAAUAAAUGUUUGCUGACUGAAUGACUGAAAGAAGAAGAAUCAGCCCCUGCUCUCAAGAAGCCCCGCCCACCAGAGGGACAGUGAGUGGUGUGAACACAGAUGUAUGUGAAGACAGCUUUGCACGCAUGCACAGAGGAGGGUGCCGCAGACUCAUCUGGGCUCCCAGAGGAGGUGACAUCUGGUCCUAGUCUUGAGAGAAGAGUAGGGAAAAGGCGGGAAGAGCAUGAGGCCUGCAGGGGCGACCACCAGAGCCCCUGUGGUUCCCACUGUGGUCAGGCUGCGGGCGGUGAUGCGUGUGCAAGGCUGACAGCCUGGACGUGUCUCCUCUGGAGGAUGUGAACCUGUGGGCGCAGGAACUGAAAACCAACACCUGGGCAUGGGACAGAGGGGCUCUGAGCUGGCGCCUGAGGUUGUGACAGGGCAUCCAGGGCCCCGAGAUGAACGGGUUUCCCUCAAGCCUGUCCCCACAUGGGCAGCAGGCUUCCUGGACUCCUAGCAGUCUCCUCUCAGCAGGCGCUCAGCCAAGGCAGGGUGGCCCCGGAUUAUCUGGAUAAUGGCUCUAUGUGAGUGAGCAGGAGCCCGAAAAUGGAAAGGGUCUCCCCUUGGGGCUGCCCUGGCAGUGGAUUUCCAGGUCUCUGUGGACAGCCCUUCACCAGGGCCAGCUGACGGCCCAGCUGGAACAGAGGUCCCCCACCGCCCCUGAACACAGCAAUGUUGGCCAGCCCCAUGCGACUGUGUCUGCAGCUCCUGGAGGGGAGACGCCCAUAGGGAAGAGGUGGAACCCCAGGGCCAGGGCCGUUUAGCUCAGACCAGGGUCUGAUGGGAAACUGUUCCAGACCAUCCACUCUCUGCUUCAUGCAUCCACCCACGAUUCACUAACCGUUUAUUGUGUGCCAGGCUCUGAGCUGGAGAGCCAACCUCUGCUCUGGGGGAUUCUCAGGCUAGUGGUGGAGCCAGGUGAGUGACACCCAAGAAGGAUGGGGGAAUGACGGGCUGACGGGAAUAGUAAACAUGAGACAAGGCUUUGGGCAAGAUUACUGUUUCCGCCCUCACUUUUAGCCAUUUCCUUCUAUCUUGUUCCCUGAGGAACUCUGGGGUGGAGAGAAGUCAAUACGCCUUAGCAGGACUCGUUCACUGUUCUCAGUGCCGGCCCUGUGCCGCGUCCAGAGAGAAGUGCAGUCCCUGCCCUCGUUGCUGCUCGGGGGCCAACUGUGGGGCAGGGGCGACACGCAGGCUGGUCUUGUCUCCUGGGCACUGAGGGAGCACUUUCCAGGCACUCAGGAGGGGCUAUAAAGUCUGUCUUGGGAAGACAAGGGAGGGCUCCACGGAGGAAGCAGCCUGGGAAAUGCACUGACGGAGCCUUGAUGGGUCACAGUCCUGCAAUGCAUGAUGGCUGUCCUGGUCCUGCAGUGCACGGUCUCAUCCAAACCCCUCUCAGCACUGUGAGGGAAGACGGAGGCUCAGGCAAGCAUCUCUGGCAAAUAGGCAGUGGGCUGGGCUUUGACCCCAGGCAGUGUGGCCCAAAGACCAGGCUCUACACAGCACAGUCCCCUCUGAAGGGAUGCUGCUGUGGACGGGACUGCAGCUGGCAGAGAGGGGCCGGCUUUCCUGGGUUCCUCUGGCAACAGCCUGAGCAAAGACCUGGAAGCAGGCAGGGGAGGGUGGGCCAAGGCCGAGCGGAUUCUGACAGGGAAUCAGGUAG